GGGAGCACGCCAAAGUUGGAGAGUUGGGCCUGACUGUAAAUCAGGUGCUUCGGCUGAGUAGGUUCGAAUCCUGCUGCUCCCA
RNAcentral lists this transfer RNA (82 nucleotides) under Fulvivirga sediminis. It matches the Rfam family "tRNA". Rfam says of the family: Transfer RNA (tRNA) molecules are approximately 80 nucleotides in length. Their secondary structure includes four short double-helical elements and three loops (D, anti-codon, and T loops). Further hydrogen bonds mediate the characteristic L-shaped molecular structure. tRNAs have two regions of fundamental functional importance: the anti-codon, which is responsible for specific mRNA codon recognition, and the 3' end, to which the tRNAs corresponding amino acid is attached (by aminoacyl-tRNA synthetases). tRNAs cope with the degeneracy of the genetic code in two manners: having more than one tRNA (with a specific anti-codon) for a particular amino acid; and 'wobble' base-pairing, i.e. permitting non-standard base-pairing at the 3rd anti-codon position. The record is from Rfam by way of RNAcentral. Lineage: Bacteria; Pseudomonadati; Bacteroidota; Cytophagia; Cytophagales; Fulvivirgaceae.